AGGACUAUUUAAGUUUGAUAAAGAGAGGAUUUAUCGAUUAGUCCUUAAAAUUAUUCACGACCAAAUGAUAGGCUGUUAAUAAGGACGACAGCUUCUAUCGAGCAUAGGUCGCUGUAGGCCAUAUGGGUUGGUUGUCCUCUUAACCAAAAAGUGUGGAGACACUGGUAUGGCAUACAGGUGAGAUGUAAGGGUACAUCAUCAUUGAACGUGAUCAACUCCAGAGCAUUCUGCUGUCGAGAAUGUCUCUGAUGGGAUAUAGGUAUAAGUGUCCCUUAGACCUGAGAUCGCCUCAGUGACUUGCAAGCAACUCACUAUGCUUUGGUACUGGACUAACUGAAUUUUUAAUUCAGAGACGGAAGACUUCUGGACACAAUCAAGUACUUGCGAAGUCAGAGUGUGAUCGAGAUGGGAUUGACCACUCCAAGAGUUGGAGAAGAAUGAGUCGCUGUAUUUCAAUUUAGCAAACCCUUGGCCAGGAUAAUCCAUUAGAUGAAUUUGAUAUUUUGAAAUACAAUGUGGACAACCUGAUCAGAGUUGAUAGUUGAACUCUGGGAUGUCCUAUGAUCAUUUUGGUCAAGGGGAUGAAUUAUAUGAAAACUAUAUCCGCAUGGGUUCUAAGGAUGUUGUUCUAUACAUUCGACCUAUCCG
RNAcentral lists this long non-coding RNA (648 nucleotides) under Elaeis guineensis (African oil palm). RNAcentral's name for it is "long non-coding RNA (EGUI_LNC077550)". The record is from RNAcentral. Lineage: Eukaryota; Viridiplantae; Streptophyta; Magnoliopsida; Arecales; Arecaceae.